GGAACAUUUAUCAACAGCCUAAAAUAAAGACAACACGAGGAGAAUUUGGUUGCUUAUAUAGAUUCAAGGUACAAUCCUGCUGGAUUCUGGGAUUACAGGACUGUAGACAAAAGAGAAAUCAUCAUGGACUGUUCACUGGACAAAAUUUCAUGGAGAGGAGAAGACCUUUGGCGGUUCAUGGAUGUUCUAUAAUAAGUUAGCAGGGAAAAUCAAUACCCAGAGAAGGGGAGAGACGUCCAUGGCACACAGGAGAGGACAGAGCCAAGAAUGAAUAUAGGACACCAGUGCCCCAACUCUUAACCACUACCAUACACGGUUUUAUAAAAAGAAAUAUCACAGUGUGCAUGCACAGAAGUACGACCAUGUGAAGAGGUAGCAAGAGAGCAGCAAUCUACAAGCCAAGGAAAGAGGCCACAGAGGAAACCAACCCUGCCAGCAUCUUGAUCUUGGACUUCCAGCUUCCAGAACUGUGAGAAAAUAUAUUUUUGUUGUUCAAGCCACUCAGUCUGUUAUAUUUUGUUAUGGUAGCCCUAGCAAACUAAUACAAACCCC
RNAcentral lists this long non-coding RNA (552 nucleotides) under Homo sapiens (human). RNAcentral's name for it is "non-protein coding LINC01359:8". Lineage: Eukaryota; Metazoa; Chordata; Mammalia; Primates; Hominidae. The record is from RNAcentral.